UUCUUAUCAAGAGAGGUGGAGGGACUGGCCCAGUGAAGCCCAGCAACCGGUACUUGAAACACGGUGCUAAAUCCAGCAGAGCUUAUAGCUCUGAAAGAUAAGAA
Molecule: non-coding RNA, 104 nt
Filed under: Bacillus sp. (in: firmicutes)
Lineage: Bacteria; Bacillati; Bacillota; Bacilli; Caryophanales; Bacillaceae
Description: Bacillus sp. SAM-I sequence
Rfam family: SAM riboswitch aptamer (S box leader)
About the family: The SAM riboswitch is found upstream of a number of genes which code for proteins involved in methionine or cysteine biosynthesis in Gram-positive bacteria. The SAM riboswitch acts at the level of transcription termination control.
Source: RNAcentral